This 252-nucleotide ribosomal RNA is filed under the name uncultured Bacteroidales bacterium. Its description in RNAcentral is "partial 16S ribosomal RNA". It matches the Rfam family "Bacterial small subunit ribosomal RNA", at positions 524 to 776 of the family's 1533-position model. Lineage: Bacteria; Pseudomonadati; Bacteroidota; Bacteroidia; Bacteroidales. The record is from RNAcentral.
UACGGAGGAUGCGAGCGUUAUCCGGAUUUAUUGGGUUUAACGGGUGCGCAGGCGGUCUGUUAAGUCAGCGGUAAAAAUUCGGGGCUCAACCCCGUCCGGCCGUUGAAACUGGGGGCCUUGAGUGGGCGAGAAGAAGGCGGAAUGCGUGGUGUAGCGGUGAAAUGCAUAGAUAUCACGCAGAACGCCGAUUGCGAAGGCAGCAUACCGGCGCCCAACUGACGCUGAGGCACGAAAGCGUGGGGAUCGAACAGG